CCCUUACAGUAUUAUAGACACUAUGUCCUGGGAUUUACUAUGUAGAAGAACCCCUUACAGUAUUAUAGACACUAUGUCCUGGGAUUUACUAUGUAGAAGAACCCCUUACAGUAUUAUAGACACUAUGACCUGGGAUUUACUAUGGUCUAUGUAGAAGAACCCCUUACAGUCUAACAACUGUUGUUGUGUAGCAUCAUAGAGCAAAACAUGUCACAUGUUCGUGAGAGUGUCAGCUGUUCAGAUUUAGCUUUUAAUAGUUUGCAGCUCUGACCAAUCAAAACUCCAGAGACAUUUUUAAUAGUUUGAUGCUCUGACCAAUCGGACUCUAGAGACAUUUUCUAUACAGCUCCGGCUCAUCUCUCAUUGAUCAGACUAAUGGCUGGUAUCUAUGGAGACAUAUGAAAUAGACCAACCCAAUGGCACAUUCUCAAACACACACUGUUUAAACCCCCUAGAGUCGAUUUCUGCUUAGCCAGUGUAAUUAACAUUUAUAUAACCCCCAUCAAAAUCAGUCAGUUAAAGUUAGAGAUAUCUGAUACACAGUUAAAGUCGAAAGUUUACAUACACCUUAGCCAAAUAUAUUUAAACUCAGCUUUUCUGAGAAAUGUGUGCAGUGGUUUAAAAACGAGUUUUAAUGACUCCAACCUAGUAAGUGUACGUAAACUUCCGACUUCAACUGUAUUUUGCAAUUGGACGCGUUUCAAUCCACCGUAUCUGCCAAAUUCGCACUUCCGCAUCUCCGCUGAAAGAUGUUUGUCAGAUCAUGAGGACUGGCCACCCCCUCAUAGCCUGGUUCCUCUCUAGGUUUCUUCCUAGGUUCCUGGCCUUUCUAGGGAGUUUUUCCUAGCCACCCCCUCAUAGCCUGGUUCCUCUCUAGGUUUCUUCCUAGGUUUUGGCCUUUCUAGGGAGUUUU
This 913-nucleotide long non-coding RNA is filed under the name Salmo salar (Atlantic salmon). RNAcentral's name for it is "lncRNA (ENSSSAG00000098810.1)". The record is from RNAcentral. Lineage: Eukaryota; Metazoa; Chordata; Actinopteri; Salmoniformes; Salmonidae.